AUGGACGAAAGUCUGACGGAGCAACGCCGCGUGAACGAAGAAGGCCUUCGGGUCGUAAAGUUCUGUUGUUAGGGAAGAACAAGUACCAGAGUAACUGCUGGUACCUUGACGGUACCUAACCAGAAAGCCACGGCUAACUACGUGCCAGCAGCCGCGGUAAUACGUAGGUGGCAAGCGUUGUCCGGAAUUAUUGGGCGUAAAGCGCGCGCAGGUGGUUCCUUAAGUCUGAUGUGAAAGCCCACGGCUCAACCGUGGAGGGUCAUUGGAAACUGGGGAACUUGAGUGCAGAAGAGGAAAGUGGAAUUCCAAGUGUAGCGGUGAAAUGCGUAGAGAUUUGGAGGAACACCAGUGGCGAAGGCGACUUUCUGGUCUGUAACUGACACUGAGGCGCGAAAGCGUGGGGAGCAAACAGGAUUAGAUACCCUGGUAGUCCACGUCGUAAACGAUGAGUGCUAAGUGUUAGAGGGUUUCCGCCCUUUAGUGCUGCAGCUAACGCAUUAAGCACUCCGCCUGGG
RNAcentral lists this ribosomal RNA (515 nucleotides) under Peribacillus simplex. Its description in RNAcentral is "bacterial SSU rRNA". It matches the Rfam family "Bacterial small subunit ribosomal RNA", at positions 371 to 877 of the family's 1533-position model. The record is from RNAcentral. Lineage: Bacteria; Bacillati; Bacillota; Bacilli; Caryophanales; Bacillaceae.